Molecule: transfer RNA, 75 nt
Filed under: Polycladomyces subterraneus
Lineage: Bacteria; Bacillati; Bacillota; Bacilli; Caryophanales; Thermoactinomycetaceae
Also listed under: 3 other names
Description: tRNA-Gln
Rfam family: tRNA
About the family: Transfer RNA (tRNA) molecules are approximately 80 nucleotides in length. Their secondary structure includes four short double-helical elements and three loops (D, anti-codon, and T loops).
Source: RNAcentral
UGGGGAGUAGCCAAGUGGUAAGGCAACGGACUUUGACUCCGUGAUGCGCAGGUUCGAAUCCUGCCUCCCCAGCCA